UCUAAAUUCCCAUUUGUUCUGCUAACAAAAUUUUUUCAUUUGAUCAAAUUCAUUUAAAGACUGAAACCUUUCUGUGGUCAGUGUGAGACAGAGCAAAAUAUGCUCAAGCCUUCAGACAAUACUGCUUACUGGAUUAGGUUGGAAAAGAUUUUUUGAGCCAUCAGAGUGCAAAUUAAUUUUAAAAAAGGACAUGAAUCAACGUGUCUAAGCAGCAGAAGCAGACAAGUGGGCCAGAAAAACUCUAUGAGAAAAGAUGCAAAACAUCAUUUGUGUAGAAAACCUGGGAAGAAGAAUCUUUCAAGGGCACCUGGAUGUGGAAAGGCUGAAAAAAACUAGUUCUCUCAGCCUUUCCAUUCCAUCCCUCUAAUCACCUUGCUGGCCCUCCUGUAAACCUGCUCUCGAAGGUUGGUGCCUUUCCUGGUCUGGGGACCCCAGAGACGGAUGCAAUACUCAAGGUGAGGUCUCACCAAAGCAGGGUAGGGGGGCAGUAUCACUUCCCUCAACCUCCACUUUCUGCUUUAGAAGAUUGGAAAUGGUUGGCUUUCUGGGCUGCAACAUUCUGCAGUAUUCUGGACAUAAAGUGUUUCAAUUGUCCUUUCCUCAUCAUGCUUUCAAGAAGAAAAGCAUUGGUAAAAUUAAGCAUUGGAAACUCUAGCCCUGACACGUGGCUUCUGAAAUAGCUCUGAAAGCUAAUUCAGGCCCAUGUUCCAAGAGAAUUGGCCUCAACAUGGCUGCUUCUUCACACUCAGUCCCAGAGCAGAGGAACUUAAUUUGCAGUAGCAGAGCAGAAAAGCAAAACUGCAAGCCUGAGAUGGGGCUUGGCAUGAAGCCCACAGGCUGAUGGCAUGGGCUUUACUUCAGUGCAGAGGGGUAAAUCAGGAUCAUCUUCCUCAUCCUCAAAAAGUAUAUGUCUUAAAGGACUGCCACACAUCAGGAGGAGAUUUUCUUCCUCUUUCUGUGUACAGGAGUGUCAUAGAUUCUUACAUCAGACUUCCUGUUCCAUGCUGUGUGUGUGGAAAUCAAGUCUCUACAUGGCAUGGAGAGUGGUCCCACUUAUGGAAAAAUGCACACUUAUACAGAAUAUUCUCUAAAUCAUUGGCCAAGUUAUUUAAGUGUACUUCUUAAUCAGUACAUAGGACCAGUUCCCACCAGGCACAUAAUCUACCCAGAGAAUAUCUGAAAUUCCUACAAGGCGCUGAGUUCAAAUAUCUUCCAAAAACUGCCACAGAAGACUUACUGUUAUCAAUGAGCAAGUAACCAAAACAAAUGAUAGAAUUGAAGUUCUCAUGCCUAAUAAAUAAAACCCAAAUACGUACAUCCAGACUUGAGGAUUAUUUUUAUUAAGAUUGGUAUGGGCAAAGAGAACAGUGCUUUUUGUGAUAUUUCAAUACUAGAUCAACAUCCUAAAAAGAAAGAAAAUAGAUCUUUUUGUCUCGUGACUUCAGUAAUUUAUGCAGUUCCUUCUAGUUCACUACUAAUUAAUUAAUUAACUGUGAGAUUUUUAGCUCCUCCAAACUUCAGGCAGGUUUUCAAUAGUAGUGAAUGAAUUCUAGGUGCCAGAAGGAAGUUUGAAAGUCACUCGCUAUCAAUAGACCUAAAGGAAGAUUGAAAAACUCCUUUUCUUAGCAGUACCCUGUUAUUUCUGAAGUGUAAUGAUAACACUGUAAAUCAACAUUGUUCAGCAUCAUCAACAUUGGUUUUGAUACUUCUUUUUCAGAUUCAGCUCCACCAAUAAAUCUGAAAUAUUUGAUUUUUUAAAUGGGCACACCAAGAUAGUAUAUAACUGGGCUUAUGUUUUUGUGAAAGUAGCAAUUCUAAACAUUCAUAGAAGAAAGAUCUACAGAAGAAGUUCAUCUAUUUUCUUUCAAUGAAAGGACAUUGCUCAGAUUACAUUAAUCUCUGGGGAUUUUUUGCAAACUUGGCAUUGAAUGAUUUGAUCCAUGAGGCUUCCAGCAUUUUUGUAAAUAAUCUCAAAAAUCUUUUCCACCUGUUUUCAUCAAUCAAAAACAUUCCAAGUACAUUUAAAACAUUUUUUUACAGCUUUUUAUUGUUAAUCUGUUUCUUCCAGUGAUAUUUCUGGGUCAUCAGGCAAGGAGGCAAAGAUUCAAUGGACUCUGACAGAACAGGACUGAAAAUGGAAGCAUCAGGAAUUCUCCUGUGUUGUAGGAAAAGAGAGAGGGGUGGUUCUUUGGAGAGAAUAAGGCAGGUAGGUCUCACACACUUGGUUGUACACACCUGCUUACACAAGCCCUGAUGCCCAAGUUUCUUCCUGUAAACCAGCAACACUAUUUCGCAGUUUCAAUGGGGAUCAUGGUGGAAUUUUACAGAGAAGGUCUGGAUAUCCUUAGGAUCUACAUGAAAACACGUCAGUGAGCACUUUUCUGCUUUGCUUUUAGGAGCAUGUGUCAGAAAACUCUUAGAGACAUUAACAAAGAUGGGUUAAUGUUCUGCAAAACAGACUGAUCAGACACCCAAAGACCUACACUACUCUCUCUUGUCACGUUUUAGGGUACUGCAAGUUGUGGUCUGCUCUGUUUUUGGGGUAAGAAUCAGGUAGGCUGGAAAUCAGUAGUACCAUUCUGUUCUGCAAAACACUUCUACUUGCUUUCUUUCACUGCUGUUAGGCUUUCUUUCCUCUUCCUUCUAUCUUUAUUUCCUUGAUAGAGUCUCAGUGUUGCUGUUGCUGAUGCUGCUGUUCUGCUUGAAUCAGGAACCAAAAACUUGUGACUUUUCUAGCUCUCCCCUUUUUUUACAGUUUCUGCAUCACUCAGAGUGACGGCACAGAGUCCAAAGUCACAACUCUGGGCUUUCCAUAGAUGAAUCUUGAAGAUGCAAACACACCACGAAGAGAAAAAAAGGAGUUUGCCUGUAGGUACUCUGAACUUUUCACUGAGUUCAUUUGAGCUAUGUUUGAGUGACAGCAUUUACCCUAAAUGGAAGUCAGUGUAGGGGAGAGGAGCAAGAGAAACAUUAUGAAAAUCUUUACUAAAGAUGAGAAAAUAUAUCCUCUUUGGAAAGAAAACUGUGGAAUAAGCCCUCCUGGUCAUAAAUAUUUUAGGUGUUCCUGCAGAGAACUGAAACCUAUCAUUGAUUCAAUUUUUUUUAACCACAGAGAUUAUGACUGAUAUUUUCUGCUUGUGUGCAUGCUCCCUACAAUUGUACUACAUUGAUUCAUUAUUUUUUUAAAUGUUAACAUAAAGAGGGUCUCUUUUACUGCAUUCUCACUUGUUUUGGUAUUUGUUUUGUGCUUGGUUUUCUUGGUUUGGGAUUUGGGGGGUGGGUUUUGGGCUUUGGGUUUCUUCCAUUUACAAUCAAAUGGAAAUUACUUCUAGGUGAAGUAGGGUUAUACUCCUCCCCUCUCCCCAAAAUACAAAGUGGCUCUUUGGAGUAUCACUCUCCUUUAGGAAGGUCUGUGCAAUCUCUUGAAGAUUAGGGACACGUAUGCAGGAAGAAAGUUGUCAGGGUUUAGAUCAAAGUUGGGGAUUGGUGAGGGACAGGGGAGUGGGGAGAAAAAGAAAUCACCGAGCUGAUCUCAGAGACUGCAAGGCAUACAGCACCUUCUCUCUUAGGGCAAUGUGUACUUUUUUUCCUACUACUUGCAAGGAGUUUAAAUAACUAUUUGAAAAAUAAGGAAAAUUGUUAUUCCCAUAAGGCCUACCUAAGCAAUACUGAGCUGAAGCUUUAGGAAAAUAUUGCUCCUUUUUCACCUCUCAGACGAUCAGAAAAUUCUUUGCAUUUUCUCUUUCAGAAAACCCUAAAAAUAAUGGAUUGUUCCUUUCAGAAAGUGCCAGUAACACACCAUUCUUCCCCGGUUUUCAGAGCUCACAGUAGUGGCUGGAUAGAUGAGGCCAUCACGAGCCGGAGACAUCAUCAGCACAGAACACUCUGCUAUUUAUUUAGAUUCUGAAAAAAAGCUUUCUUGCUUAUUUUCCUAAAAUAAUUAAAAUGCAUCACUUAAGUUCCGAUAUGCUAAAAAAAAAA
Molecule: non-coding RNA, 3981 nt
Organism: Zonotrichia albicollis (white-throated sparrow)
Lineage: Eukaryota; Metazoa; Chordata; Aves; Passeriformes; Passerellidae
Source: RefSeq, a predicted model, not a curated record